This 487-nucleotide ribosomal RNA is filed under the name Burkholderia cenocepacia. RNAcentral's name for it is "bacterial SSU rRNA". It matches the Rfam family "Bacterial small subunit ribosomal RNA", at positions 1 to 484 of the family's 1533-position model. The record is from RNAcentral. Lineage: Bacteria; Pseudomonadati; Pseudomonadota; Betaproteobacteria; Burkholderiales; Burkholderiaceae.
UCAGAGUUUUGAUCCUGGCUCAGAUUGAACGCUGGCGGCAUGCCUUACACAUGCAAGUCGAACGGCAGCACGGGUGCUUGCACCUGGUGGCGAGUGGCGAACGGGUGAGUAAUACAUCGGAACAUGUCCUGUAGUGGGGGAUAGCCCGGCGAAAGCCGGAUUAAUACCGCAUACGAUCUACGGAUGAAAGCGGGGGACCUUCGGGCCUCGCGCUAUAGGGUUGGCCGAUGGCUGAUUAGCUAGUUGGUGGGGUAAAGGCCUACCAAGGCGACGAUCAGUAGCUGGUCUGAGAGGACGACCAGCCACACUGGGACUGAGACACGGCCCAGACUCCUACGGGAGGCAGCAGUGGGGAAUUUUGGACAAUGGGCGAAAGCCUGAUCCAGCAAUGCCGCGUGUGUGAAGAAGGCCUUCGGGUUGUAAAGCACUUUUGUCCUGGAAAGAAAUCCUUGGCUCUAAUACAGUCGGGGGAUGACGGUACCGGAAG